Molecule: ribosomal RNA, 253 nt
Filed under: uncultured bacterium
Lineage: Bacteria
Description: partial 16S ribosomal RNA
Rfam family: Bacterial small subunit ribosomal RNA
Source: RNAcentral
UACGUAGGGGGCGAGCGUUGUCCGGAAUCAUUGGGCGUAAAGCGCGUGUAGGCGGCCCGGUAAGUCCGCUGUGAAAGUCCAGGGCUCAACCCUGGGAUGCCGGUGGAUACUGUCGGGCUCGAGUCCGGAAGAGGCGAGUGGAAUUCCUGGUGUAGCGGUGAAAUGCGCAGAUAUCAGGAGGAACACCGGUGGCGAAGGCGGUUCUCUGGGCAUGUCCUGACGCUGAGGAGCGAAAGCAUGGGGAGCGAACAGG